This 93-nucleotide ribosomal RNA is filed under the name uncultured bacterium. RNAcentral describes it as "partial 16S ribosomal RNA". The record is from RNAcentral.
UUGUAAACUCCUGUUAAGAGUGAAGAAAUCCCUGCCAGUAAUAUGGGUAGGGGAUGACGGUAUCUCUAGAGAAAGCACCGGCUAACUUCGUGC